GCGAGGGUGGCGGAAUGGCAGACGCGCUAGCUUGAGGGGCUAGUGGUAGAAAUAUCGUAGGGGUUCAAGUCCCCUCCCUCGCA
RNAcentral lists this transfer RNA (83 nucleotides) under Candidatus Omnitrophota bacterium. RNAcentral describes it as "tRNA-Leu". It matches the Rfam family "tRNA". Rfam says of the family: Transfer RNA (tRNA) molecules are approximately 80 nucleotides in length. Their secondary structure includes four short double-helical elements and three loops (D, anti-codon, and T loops). The record is from RNAcentral. Lineage: Bacteria; Pseudomonadati; Candidatus Omnitrophota.